RNAcentral lists this ribosomal RNA (234 nucleotides) under uncultured bacterium. RNAcentral describes it as "partial 16S ribosomal RNA". It matches the Rfam family "Bacterial small subunit ribosomal RNA", at positions 118 to 351 of the family's 1533-position model. The record is from RNAcentral.
UGAGCAAUCUGCCCUUCUCAUCGGAAUAAGCGUUGGAAACGACGUCUAAUGCCGAAUACGACCUCCUUUCGCAUGAUCGGAGGUGGAAAGCUCCGGCGGAGAAGGAUGAGCUCGCGGCCUAUCAGCUAGUUGGUGUGGGUAACGCCCACCAAGGCGACGACGGGUAGCCGGCCUGAGAGGGUGACCGGCCACACUGGGACUGAGACACGGCCCAGACCUCCGUACGGGAGGNAG